UUAUAUGAGAGUUUGAUCCUGGCUCAGGAUGAACGCCGGCGGUGUGCCUAAUACAUGCAAGUCGAACGCGUUGGCCCAAUUGAUUGACGGUGCUUGCACCUGAUUGAUUUUGGUCGCCAACGAGUGGCGGACGGGUGAGUAACACGUAGGUAACCUGCCCAGAAGCGGGGGACAACAUUUGGAAACAGAUGCUAAUACCGCAUAACAACGUUGUUCGCAUGAACAACGCUUAAAAGAUGGCUUCUCGCUAUCACUUCUGGAUGGACCUGCGGUGCAUUAGCUUGUUGGUGGGGUAAUGGCCUACCAAGGCGAUGAUGCAUAGCCGAGUUGAGAGACUGAUCGGCCACAAUGGGACUGAGACACGGCCCAUACUCCUACGGGAGGCAGCAGU
RNAcentral lists this ribosomal RNA (391 nucleotides) under Limosilactobacillus fermentum. Its description in RNAcentral is "bacterial SSU rRNA". It matches the Rfam family "Bacterial small subunit ribosomal RNA", at positions 1 to 355 of the family's 1533-position model. The record is from RNAcentral. Lineage: Bacteria; Bacillati; Bacillota; Bacilli; Lactobacillales; Lactobacillaceae.